This is a long non-coding RNA of Neopelma chrysocephalum (saffron-crested tyrant-manakin), 137 nucleotides long. RefSeq lists it as uncharacterized. The record is from RefSeq and is a predicted model, not a curated record. The transcript is spliced from 3 exons. NCBI's taxonomy places the organism in Eukaryota, Metazoa, Chordata, Aves, Passeriformes, Pipridae.
UUCUGGGACCCUGCCGGUAAGAGGUCACUGUGGAGGAGAGAGAAUGUGUGCAGCCUCAGAGGGCCAGAGCCACCUGCCAAUUAGGUUUGAUGGUCUUCAGCUGUCCAUGUACGGCACACGGUGACAGCAGCAGCCUC